This 391-nucleotide ribosomal RNA is filed under the name uncultured bacterium. RNAcentral describes it as "bacterial SSU rRNA". It matches the Rfam family "Bacterial small subunit ribosomal RNA", at positions 415 to 793 of the family's 1533-position model. The record is from RNAcentral.
CCUUCGGGUUGUAAAGCACUUUCAGUAGGGAGGAAGGUAGUGUAGUUAACACCUGCAUUAUUUGACGUUACCUACAGAAGAAGCACCGGCUAACUCCGUGCCAGCAGCCGCGGUAAUACGGAGGGUGCGAGCGUUAAUCGGAAUUACUGGGCGUAAAAGCGCAUGCAGGCGGCCUGUUAAGUCAGAUGUGAAAGCCCGGGGCUUAACCUCGGAAUUGCAUUUUGAAAACUGGCAGGCUAGAGUCUUGUAGAGGGGGUAGAAUUUCAGGUGUAGCGGUGAAAUGCGUAGAGAUCUGAAGGAAUACCAGUGGCGAACGGCGGCCCCCCUGGACAAAGACUGACGCUCAGAUGCGAAAGCGUGGGGAGCAAACAGGAUUAGAUACCCCUGGUAG